Molecule: ribosomal RNA, 465 nt
Filed under: Vreelandella stevensii
Lineage: Bacteria; Pseudomonadati; Pseudomonadota; Gammaproteobacteria; Oceanospirillales; Halomonadaceae
Description: partial 16S ribosomal RNA
Rfam family: Bacterial small subunit ribosomal RNA
Source: RNAcentral
CCUACGGGUGGCUGCAGUGGGGAAUAUUGGACAAUGGGCGAAAGCCUGAUCCAGCCAUGCCGCGUGUGUGAAGAAGGCCUUCGGGUUGUAAAGCACUUUCAGUGGGGAAGAAAGCCUUGGGGCUAAUACCCUCGAGGAAGGACAUCACCCACAGAAGAAGCACCGGCUAACUCCGUGCCAGCAGCCGCGGUAAUACGGAGGGUGCGAGCGUUAAUCGGAAUUACUGGGCGUAAAGCGCGCGUAGGCGGUCUGAUAAGCCGGUUGUGAAAGCCCCGGGCUCAACCUGGGAACGGCAUCCGGAACUGUCAGGAUAGAGUGCAGGAGAGGAAGGUAGAAUUCCCGGGGUAGCGGUGAAAUGCGUAGAGAUCGGGAGGAAUACCAGUGGCGAAGGCGGCCUUCUGGACUGACACUGACGCUGAGGUGCGAAAGCGUGGGUAGCAAACAGGAUUAGAUACCCGGGUAGUC